This 1445-nucleotide long non-coding RNA is filed under the name Hordeum vulgare. RNAcentral's name for it is "long non-coding RNA (HVUL_LNC002696)". The record is from RNAcentral. Lineage: Eukaryota; Viridiplantae; Streptophyta; Magnoliopsida; Poales; Poaceae.
AAGACAAGACUAACGACAAUUAUUACUUGUGUGCUUUUGCAUCAGAGGAAUCUAAAAGUGCUAUCCAUGGGAGUGUUUACUUUUGUCUGCCUUGUUAUACUUUGAUCUUUGCUUCAUUUUUUGUGUGUGGUUAACUUCUUGCUGCUUUGCUCUUGGCUAGAUAAUACAGUUGAGUGACGAAAGAUUUUCACCUUAUGUGAACUUAAUUGUUAGCAUUUACACUUCUACAAUGCUCUAGUAAUAGAUCUGACUUGCUCCCUUCAAUUUUUGGCCUACUUUAGUUCAUAGAAUAGGAUUAUCAUUGGAAUAGGAAACUUGUAGGAAAUGAGAUAACAUGUAUGUCAAAUCCUACGAGGAGGAUUAGGCAAAGAUAUCUCAUUUGGUUCAUAUCAUAGGAAUUUUACCAUUGAGUUUAGGCUCAUGUUUAUUUUCCUUGGUGAUGUGAAGGAUAGGAACCAUUCUACAUAGGAAUAGUAAUCCGUUCCUAUGAACCAACGAGACCUAAAGGAAAAAUUCCUAUAAAAAUCCUAUCCUAUAGAAUUCCUAUGAAAUUCCUCCAAACCAAAGGAGGCCUGAGUGUCAUAAAUGGAUGUCAACAGAACAUGCAAGCUGUUGCAGAUUACCGAUUACAAGGAGCAUGUAGAAAGACACACAACCCUGUGUUGUUGAAAAAAGAACAUGCAUUCAGUGAUAGUAGUACAAUGGCAACAAAGAAGACACUACUAUGAGAACUAGCCGAUUCUGAGUAUACCAGCUACUAUGAAGCAACAAAACGAGUGACGAGUCAUGGUUGAGAUGGUAAUUACACGUUAGCUACGUACACCAAGAUGGGUCCACGAGGAGAUGCACAAGUGUGGUGAUUCCACAUUAACGGGUAGAUCGAGAUGGGGAGGAGAGAGACAUUCCUUUUCGUAUUUUUCAUCGUCGGCAUAGCUAUCACCGGAGGGUGGUAGCCAGAGAGCGAGGAAUCAUGCCAAGCCUCUAGUUUCACAAAUGAAAAUACAUUAUUUUGUAGGAAAGGUACUCCAUGCUAUAGUUGAUGUCGAUCGGUCAUUCCCGCCGUCGACAUGGGAGCGGUAGAGAGCAUUGUCUCUAUCGUGUGGUUGGUGAAUCUGGGCUUAACACGCAGGAUCUACUAGCGAUUUUGCCUGUUCUGAGCACUUAGCCUUGGAGGCGCUCACCUUGAUGUCGCUUGUGAAGGUAGGCUCGUAGCACGAAAUUAAAACGAGUGAUGUAUCAAGGUUGGGUUGGUGAUUCCACAUUAGCCACGCCCCUAGAACCGAACUGAGCUCCACAUGCACGACUUUGUAAAUGCACUUCUUUAGUAUUCCUCUAAUAUGUCAUCCCGCAUAUGUAGCUACAACUUUCAAGUCUACAUAGUCAGCUCGGAAGAACAUUAUCGAUUGUUUUUUAAACGGGUCUUCUACCUCUAAAAAUCAAACCCC